This is a long non-coding RNA of Homo sapiens (human), 438 nucleotides long. The record is from Ensembl. Lineage: Eukaryota; Metazoa; Chordata; Mammalia; Primates; Hominidae.
AAAAGCAUGUGAAGGAACUAGCCAGGAUAAAAUGCGAGGAACAGAAUUUCAGAGCAGAAACUGAAAGAGUUUCACUCUUGUUGCCCUGGCUGGAGUGUAACAGCGUGAUCUCGGCUCACUGCAACCUCCGCCUCUCAGGUUCAAGCGAUUCUCCUGCCUCAGCCUCUCGAGUAGCUGGGAUUACAGCACGUGUCUGACACAUAGCAGGCAUUCAAGAAAUACAUGUGAUGGAAGACAUGAAUACCUAUGAAGAAAAUUACGCUAUGUUAUUGAUGAAAGCUAAUACAAAUAUGCUGCUAAGAACGGAUUCAGGGGUAUCCGUUAGUAGGUAGAAUUGGAAUUAUACCCUGAGACAACCUAUGCAUAAUAAUUUAAAAAUGACUCAACAAUAACUUUAUAUUCAGAAAUGUGCUAUGACUUUUAAAAUAUCUCCCCAAU